AUGGGUAAGGUGCACGGAUCGCUCGCCCGUGCCGGGAAGGUGCGCGGCCAGACGCCCAAGGUCGCGAAGCAGGACAAGAAGAAGCAGCCCCGCGGCCGCGCCGCCGUCGUCGGCUUCGGCAAGAAGCGCGGCCCCAACUCCUCCGAGAAGUAG
This 153-nucleotide ribosomal RNA is filed under the name Triticum aestivum (bread wheat). RNAcentral describes it as "partial small subunit ribosomal RNA". Lineage: Eukaryota; Viridiplantae; Streptophyta; Magnoliopsida; Poales; Poaceae. The record is from RNAcentral.